RNAcentral lists this transfer RNA (68 nucleotides) under Tylomelania sarasinorum. RNAcentral describes it as "tRNA-Asn". The record is from RNAcentral. Lineage: Eukaryota; Metazoa; Mollusca; Gastropoda; Pachychilidae.
UAAAUGAAAGCCAAAAAUUGGAGGCAUCUAGCUGUUAAUUAGAAAAUUGUGAGCUUUCACUCAUUUAA